Molecule: long non-coding RNA, 3402 nt
Organism: Lolium perenne
Lineage: Eukaryota; Viridiplantae; Streptophyta; Magnoliopsida; Poales; Poaceae
Source: RefSeq, a predicted model, not a curated record
GACAAAGUUGCUUGAAGCAUUUCUGGCUCACGUCACCUUCAUGAUAGGACCAUAUUAUCAGGUUGAAAUAUCUGGUAGACUAUCAGGGUUAAAAUGCCAAUGAGGCUGAUGCUAUCGUUUCCUAAAAUGGCACCAUUGGAAUGGAUCAGCUGCAUUGCAAUUAGCUACCGUGAACACGGCAUAUUGAUUACGAGGAGUUGGUGCGCCUUCGUCUCUUCUCCCCUCAACCAGGAGAUGUCAGCGAGAUAUCUUGCAUCAAUGAUGCACAAUCAAGAGAUGAUGGGGCCUUGUGACGUGUUUUCAGUGGUGGCUCCCUUGGCUGUGCGGUGUCCUCGGCCAGAGCAGGGGCCUGCCAGCAACCUCACAAUCUCUGGCUUGUUCAUAGGAGCGGCAUAAUGCUUUUUUACGUCUAUAAACAUAAAUACUACCAGGCCCCUUGUAAUUACCGUCAAGAAUGCUGCCAAUUCGCCUACUGCAACUAAAGGUCGAGUACAAGGAAAUACCAAAUUGAGUGUUUUCUCCUCACUAGGUUGAGUACAGGGAGAGAUGUCGGAGGGCAGCAUCUGGAGCGUCACUUGAUAGUCAUCUUUCCAAAAAAGGUCCCUAUCAAAGUUCCUUAUUGGUUCUUGCCAUUGAUCUAUACUCAAACCUCUCCACUGAAGAAAUACAAGUGCUCUAUAAUGUGAUUUAUCCUUUCUGUACUUACGAUCUAACAAUGAUUUAUGUGAGGUGCCAUUGAUGUUCAUUGUUUGUUUGGCAGAGGUUUAGUACCAAGGGAAAUAAUCAUGCCAAGACAAAUCAAACGAAUUUAUUUUGUUCAGAAAAUCUAUUUUUUUUAAUAUUUUAGCAAGUCUCGUGGCUGGCGGCUGGUUGCCUGUCUAUGGAAAAUAUUGGUUAUUCAUUGCUUGCUACGAGUUCAUUGCCGGCGACAGUUUGCCUGCCUAUGGAAAAUAUCGAUUAGUUCUUCAUUGCCUGCUAUGAGUUCAAAACGGAAAAUCAGUAAUACACUAUAGGAAGCUGUUCUGAAUGGAAGGCGUCUUUGCUAAAUUGAGUACAACGUAAAUACUUUAUUUUAGAAAUUGCAGAAAGGCUGCCCAACUUGAAAAAGAUAUAUGGUAUGGAAGCCAAAGCGUAUAUUCACCGAAUGCUUCUGGGAUAGAAGUGCUUGCAUUGGUAUGUUACCGUUUGCUCUCUAAUGUUAGCUUGCACGAUGAGAGAGGGAAGUGGUAGUUUUUUCCCUGUUGGAUAUAUAUUUGUUGAAUUACUUGGUUCUUUCUUCCACUAUCGAUCUUAUCUUUCCAGUCUACUGUUGUCUUACUUUUCAGUAGGUUCUCUUGUCUGAUUUGGAAAAGAGCUGCUGAUGUUUGCACUCGAAUUCAAUGAUGGUUGCCCAGUUUAUGUUAGAGUGUAUUAUACUGCUAUAAAAAGUUGUACCAAUUUAUUGUAUACGUAAAUUAUUAUGUAAACAUCAGAGGUUAAGAUUAGUUAUCUUACAACUUUAUAGCGAAAAAUACUCAAAUUUAUAACUGUUCGAGAGUUAUAAAUGUGUAUUUUUCUAGGUUGUCUAAAUCAAGAGCUUUUAUUGCCUCUUUAGCAAUCUACUAGGAUCAUUGGUAUUGUCCAAUAUGUAUUGCAAUUGGUAUAUAUGUACUCGGAUCUGGCCGGCAUAUUGCAUUGUUCAUUCCAUCGGUUAUACCUCCCUUGCUCGGCGCGGCCGGAGACGUGGUGGCGACGGCCGAAGGAGAGUGGCGCGGCCGGAGACGGGCCAGCGCGGGGCGGAUCCGCGGCGGCGACGACCGGAGGCGACGGGUGCGGCCGGAGACGGGCUGGCGCGGGGCGGAUCCGUGGCAGCGCCGACCGGAGGCGAGGCCAUCUCUCCUCCCUGCUCUCGUCAUCUUCAGUGGAUGAACACUGGGCAGGCGGCAAGGGAUGGUCUUGGCACAACCUGAUUCAACUCCAGAUUAUUCUAACACCGAGGGAUGGACGGAUGGUCAUGGCCCAGCAACUGCACCUGCAUCUACUUCCGCAACCUCUCCAAAGAGCCACGUUGAGGAUCUCUUUUUCCCCAAUGACCUUACACGUUUGUAUGAUUCAGUUGUCACCUUUUCCAGAUGAAUCAAGUCUCAAUGAAUGAGGUCGAGACGAUGCUUGAGCUCUACAAAAUCAUAAAAGCUGAAAAAAUAGUGUGAAAUCAUACUUAAUUAUUAUAUAUUACUGCAACACCUCGGUGGAAUGGAGUGUCUGCAAGAUACUAAAGCGGUUAAAUUCUGGCUAAUUCUUAAUACUAAAAUAAGCUAAAACUUAUGGUUUAAAUUCUGACUUGAUUUUGCUAUUUGACAUGUUUGAGAGUAGGCUUUGCCAUGUAUCCUUACCAUGUUAAUUCAGGUUCUAAUAAAAACAUAUGAUAUCUCUAUUUUUUUCUUCACUCUAUUUCAUGUUGGUUAUCAUCGACACUAAUAUUUUUCUUUUCCUAUCUGUUAACAGAAAUUCUACCCGAAUUUUUAUUUCUUUCUUCAUAUGAGAUCCUUUAGUUCGUAUUGUUGAAUGUUACAUAUCUCUAAAUAUCACUAUAUUCAUAUUUCUCAUAUCUGAUGGACCAUGAGCUGUGUAUAUGUGCCUAAUCACUUUACCCAUCAGCUCUUACCUGGCAUAGUUUUCAGCUGUUCACUGACUUCCACGUUGUAUUUUGGAACCUUCCAUGGGGAUUGAUCUCAUGUGUUUCAAUCUUCUGAAGGUUCUUUUGUCAAUACUUGCUUUUUUGUGAUGCUGCACUUUACACCCGAUGGUGUUAUUGGAACCGAAUACGGUAGUUCUUGUUUAAUUCAAGCCCGGAUAUGGUUAGGAAUGUGCUAGCGUACUUUCCUUAUGGUUGCUCACUGGACAAAGCACUAAAUAUGGAAAAUAUGAAAACUUCAUUAGUAUCUGUAGGUAGAAAAGGAGGUUCUGUUUGGUAUAAGAUAAUAUGGGGCUGGUCACAAGAAAAGAAGAGGAAAGAUCACAAAUUAUUGUGAAUAUAGUUGACAAUUUUGUAUACAUAGGAAAGUUUGCAUUGUGACUUGUGAAUAUUUUUUCCCUCCUUCCCGCGCUUCUGUAGACAGCUUAGGAAUUCUGUGGUGUACGAAUAGUACCCUAAAAUUCAAAGCGUAGAUUUGUGGGGCACAUCAAAGAGCGACCUUAAUUUCAGUCCAGGCCUGAGUGGCCACUAUCUCGGUCUUAUCUUCUGGUUGCAUAUUGCUCUCUACAUCCCUCUUUCCUCUCUAUAUCUUGUAUGCCUUUCAUCAGGGUGCAGCUGCCUCUUUUGAAGAAAUUAAGAGGAGUUGCUGAUGAGCUUCAGGGUAUCCUAAAGAGGCAAUGCUUUGGAGUAAUCUGUUUGAGCUGGCCCUCUCAUAUUUUUGUCACGGU